AUUCAGCUGAUGAGUCUCGAAUAGGAUGAAACAUGCGUUCUGGAU
Non-coding RNA from Schistosoma rodhaini, 45 nucleotides. Lineage: Eukaryota; Metazoa; Platyhelminthes; Trematoda; Strigeidida; Schistosomatidae. The record is from Rfam.